RNAcentral lists this non-coding RNA (111 nucleotides) under Frateuria sp. RNAcentral describes it as "Glycine sequence". It matches the Rfam family "Glycine riboswitch aptamer". Rfam says of the family: This family represents the bacterial glycine riboswitch. Glycine riboswitches usually consist of two metabolite-binding aptamers domains with similar structures in tandem. The aptamers cooperatively bind glycine to regulate the expression of downstream genes. The record is from RNAcentral. Lineage: Bacteria; Pseudomonadati; Pseudomonadota; Gammaproteobacteria; Lysobacterales; Rhodanobacteraceae.
CUCGAACACUCUGGAGAGACCGGUUGAAUCCGGCGCCGAAGGUGCACGAAGCGGAAGGAUCGCCGAUCCGGCCGCUUCCAAACUCUCAGGCAAAAGGACAGAGGGGCGCCC